CAAAGAUUAAUUUAACAUUUUCUCUGGAAGUAUUAAUUUAGAAAGAUAAUAUGCUUCAUUGGUGUUGUGUUUUGAAGUGUGAAAUGUGAUAAAGUCAAGAUAAAGUUCACUUUUAAACUGAACUAAAUAAGGUAUCUGAGAGACAACAAUGGUUAAAUGCAAUACAAUGUACAGGUUUUACUAGCGAAAUGAAAAUUUUCCUGUCCUGUCUGCUGUAAUCAUUUUAUAUCUGGAAAACCAGCCGACUUAAUAGAUAAUAACAAUCUCCAGAUUGGGUUCCUUCAAUAAAUAUGGUCUAUAAACACAAUGAAAUAAGUUCCCCAAAAUCUAAAAUGGAGUGGUAUCAAAGGAGAAUUAAAGGGAAAAAUAUUCAUAUUGAAAUUAUUUAUAAGGCACUGGACUGUCUUAAAUUCUACAAUAAUACUAGAAUCAGCUGAGAGAAGUGGUCUACAAAAAAACCAGGAAGGAAACGGAAUAUGUGGCUACGAAAGGCAAAAGAAAGGUUUACAAAGCAAAUGUGACAGAUUUUUUUGAAAUAUUUAGGAAUAUCAGUAAAUUGCAUUAAAAAAAUGUAUGAAAAGAUUUUGUUCAAUAAAAAUGUUUAUAUUUAUCAAGGAUGUAUUAUUUGGUAUGGCCACAUAUCGUCAGUGAUGUAAUAAUACAUCCUAUCUGUUUUUUCAUGAGUUUUGUAAGAGAGACUAAAAACUUGUCUUAGGGUCACCUCCUGUUUUCAUAUGAUA
Molecule: long non-coding RNA, 740 nt
Organism: Diabrotica virgifera virgifera (western corn rootworm)
Lineage: Eukaryota; Metazoa; Arthropoda; Insecta; Coleoptera; Chrysomelidae
Exons: 3
Source: RefSeq, a predicted model, not a curated record